UAAGGGAAGUUGUUCAGUCAACUCGGAAAAGGGGUAGCAACCCGGAAAGUAGACUCACCGUCUUGGUCUAGAGACUGACCCCUGCACAGACAGACCCCUUCCCCUCUCUGCGAAAGACCCAAGCCCCAGAAGUCACUCCAUCUCCUACGGCUCGCAAUUUCCAGAGGCCCCCUGGCACCUUCCAGCCUGAUGUCGUGCGUCAAGUUAUGGCCCAGCGGUGCCCCCGCCCCCUUGGUGUCCAUCGAGGAACUGGAGAACCAGGAGCUCGUCGGCAAAGGCGGGUUCGGCACAGUGUUCCGGGCGCAACAUAGGAAGUGGGGCUACGAUGUGGCGGUCAAGAUCGUAAACUCGAAGGCGAUAUCCAGGGAGGUCAAGGCCAUGGCAAGUCUGGAUAACGAAUUCGUGCUGCGCCUAGAAGGGGUUAUCGAGAAGGUGAACUGGGACCAAGAUCCCAAGCCGGCUCUGGUGACUAAAUUCAUGGAGAACGGCUCCCUGUCGGGGCUGCUGCAGUCCCAGUGCCCUCGGCCCUGGCCGCUCCUUUGCCGCCUGCUGAAAGAAGUGGUGCUUGGGAUGUUUUACCUGCACGACCGGAACCCGGUGCUCCUGCACCGGGACCUCAAGCCAUCCAACGUCCUGCUGGACCCAGAGCUGCACGUCAAGGUCAGCUGGUCUACACCCCUCUCAGCCUCAAGACAAGGCCCCAGAGCUGUUCCAGCCAGGCCCACCGGACACUAGACCUCCAGAGCCCUGUCUAUUGAAUAGGCGUAGCCUCUCCCUCUGGACACAGGGCUGCCAGGGGACAAAGCCCAGCCAGGAGUUUUAGCUCCUGCCGUACCAGGUGAUAGAGGCCCUGACCCACACGAGUCAUUUCCACCAGCUGCCCCACCAGCCCCUCCAAAGAGUCAUGGCUGACCCAGCCCUGGAGACUCAGACCUUGACCUAGCCCUACCACAAGGCACCUAGAUCUACCAUCCAAGGGAACCUCUUCCCUUGACCUCCACACUCCCUUUACAAAGCUGAACCUGCACCUUCUGGGGGCAGGGGGGUUCCUGGAGGCUCUCUGGCCCCCUUGUCUUCCCUACCUCCCACUUCUUUCCUUCCUUUGCAGCUGGCAGAUUUUGGCCUGUCCACAUUUCAGGGAGGCUCACAGUCAGGGACAGGGUCCGGGGAGCCAGGGGGCACCCUGGGCUACUUGGCCCCAGAACUGUUUGUUAAUGUAAACCGGAAGGCCUCCACAGCCAGUGAUGUCUACAGGUAAGGAUCCCGGCCCAAACACACAGCCAGGAUUCCUACACUUCUCUGGGCCCUCCCAGGGGAUGAUGUAUAGGAAAGGAGUCUUACCAGUGAUUGGACCGAUCCUCAGCUUUGUGUCUCCUGCAGCUUCGGGAUCCUAAUGUGGGCAGUGCUUGCUGGAAGAGAAGUUGAGUGUAAGACUCUAGGAGGAUUCUGGGAUCCUUAACCCCAGGUGCCCUUCUCUUGAAAGCCCCAAGGCUUCCCCUUCCCGCUCACCUACUUAGACUGCCCUCCUCCCUCCUCGUGCCCCCACAUUACACUCCCUGCCUCUUUCCAUGAUGAAGCAGAUAAUUCCCUUUUACCCUGAAUGGCUUCUCUUCUCACCCUCCUCCCCUAC
RNAcentral lists this small RNA (1630 nucleotides) under Pan troglodytes (chimpanzee). Its description in RNAcentral is "retained intron". Lineage: Eukaryota; Metazoa; Chordata; Mammalia; Primates; Hominidae. The record is from RNAcentral.